Molecule: ribosomal RNA, 246 nt
Filed under: uncultured bacterium
Lineage: Bacteria
Description: partial 16S ribosomal RNA
Rfam family: Bacterial small subunit ribosomal RNA
Source: RNAcentral
GAUCAUGGCUCAGGAUGAACGCUAGCUACAGGCUUAACACAUGCAAGUCGAACGAGAGGACAAGAGAAGCUUGCUUCUUUUGGAAUCGAGUGGCAAACGGGUGAGUAACACGUAAACAACCUGCCUUCAGGAUGGGGACAACAGACGGAAACGACUGCUAAUACCGAAUACGCUUGGGAGACCGCAUGAUCUACCAAGGAAAGGGUGGCCUCUACCUGUAAGCUAUCGCCUGAAGAGGGGUUUGCG